GAUGAACGCUGGCGGCGUGCCUAACACAUGCAAGUCGAACGAACAGAAGAGGAAGUUUCCCCCCGGACGUUCGCGGCGGACGUGUUAGUAAAACGUUGAUAACCUACCUAUUAAACUGGGAUAACUUCGGGAAACCUCAUCUAAUACCAGAUAAUAUAUUGAACCGCAUGGUUCAAUAGUGUAAGACGUUUUUGCUGUCUCUUAUAGAUUGAUCUGCGCCGCAUUAGCUACUUGUUAAUGUAACGGCUUACAAAGACGACGAUGAGUAGCAGACUUGAGAGGGUAAGAGGCCACACUGGAACUGAGAAGCGGACCAGAAUACUACGGGAGGCAGCAGUAGCGAAUCUUCAGCAAUGGGAGAAAGCCUGACGGAGCAACGACGCGGGAAUGAUGAAGGUCUUGAGGUCGUAAGACUCUGUUAGUAGGGAAGAACAAAUGUGUAAGUAUCUAUGCACAUCUUGACGGUACCUAAUCAGAAAGCCACGGCUAACUACGUG
RNAcentral lists this ribosomal RNA (497 nucleotides) under uncultured bacterium. RNAcentral's name for it is "partial 16S ribosomal RNA". It matches the Rfam family "Bacterial small subunit ribosomal RNA", at positions 28 to 507 of the family's 1533-position model. The record is from RNAcentral.